CAGUCGCCACGGGAAUACGAAGGGGGCUAGCGUUGCUCGGAAUGACUGGGCGUAAAGGGCGCGUAGGCGGCGAUCAAAGUCAGGCGUGAAAUUCCCGGGCUUAACCUGGGAACUGCAUUUGUGACUGGCGAGCUAGAGUAUGGCAGAGGGGGGUAGAAUUCCACGUGUAGCAGUGAAAUGCGUAGAGAUGUGGAGGAAUACCGAUGGCGAAGGCAGCCCCCUGGACCAUAACUGACGCUGAGGCACGAAAGCUAGGGGAGCAAACAGGAUUAGAUACCCCUGUAGUCCCUGUCUCUUAUAC
RNAcentral lists this ribosomal RNA (301 nucleotides) under uncultured bacterium. Its description in RNAcentral is "partial 16S ribosomal RNA". It matches the Rfam family "Bacterial small subunit ribosomal RNA", at positions 509 to 807 of the family's 1533-position model. The record is from RNAcentral.